GUACAGUAGGCGGGUGCUUACACAUGCAGUCGAACGGUGAUGGAGGAGCUUGCUUCUCCUGAUCAGUGGCGAACGGGUGAGUAACACGUGAGUAACCUGCCCUUGACUCUGGGAUAACUUCGGGAAACCGUGGCUAAUACCGGAUAUGAGAUGCGACCGCAUGGUCUGUGUCUGGAAAGUUUUUCGGUCAAGGAUGGACUCGCGGCCUAUCAGCUUGUUGGUGAGGUAAUGGCUCACCAAGGCGUCGACGGGUAGCCGGCCUGAGAGGGCGACCGGCCACACUGGGACUGAGACACGGCCCAGACUCCUACGGGAGGCAGCAGUGGGGAAUAUUGCACAAUGGGCGAAAGCCUGAUGCAGCGACGCCGCGUGAGGGAUGAAGGCCUUCGGGUUGUAAACCUCUUUCAGUAGGGAAGAAGCGAAAGUGACGGUACCUGCAGAAGAAGCACCGGCUAACUACGUGCCAGCAGCCGCGGUAAUACGUAGGGUGCAAGCGUUGUCCGGAAUUAUUGGGCGUAAAGAGCUCGUAGGCGGUUUGUCGCGUCUGGUGUGAAAACUCAAGGCUCAACCUUGAGCUUGCAUCGGGUACGGGCAGACUAGAGUGUGGUAGGGGUGACUGGAAUUCCUGGUGUAGCGGUGGAAUGCGCAGAUAUCAGGAGGAACACCGAUGGCGAAGGCAGGUCACUGGGCCACUACUGACGCUGAGGAGCGAAAGCAUGGGGAGCGAACAGGAUUAGAUACCCUGGUAGUCCAUGCCGUAAACGUUGGGCACUAGGUGUGGGGCUCAUUCCACGAGUUCCGCGCCGCAGCUAACGCAUUAAGUGCCCCGCCUGGGGAGUACGGCCGCAAGGCUAAAACUCAAAGGAAUUGACGGGGGCCCGCACAAGCGGCGGAGCAUGCGGAUUAAUUCGAUGCAACGCGAAGAACCUUACCAAGGCUUGACAUACACCGGAAUCAUGCAGAGAUGUGUGCGUCUUCGGACUGGUGUACAGGUGUGCAUGGUUGUCGUCAGCUCGUGUCGUGAGAUGUUGGGAUUAAGUCCCGCAACGAGCGCAACCCUCGUCCUAUGUUGCCAGCACGUUAUGGUGGGGACUCAUAGGAAACUGCGGGUCACUCGGAGAUGUGGGAUGACGUCGAUCAUCAUGCCCCUUAUGUCUGGCUGAGUCAUGGCUACAUGCCGUACACGUCUUGCAUUCCGCUGAAGGUGCAACGCGAAUUCGCAGAAAAGCCGGGAU
Molecule: ribosomal RNA, 1235 nt
Filed under: Sanguibacter sp.
Lineage: Bacteria; Bacillati; Actinomycetota; Actinomycetes; Micrococcales; Sanguibacteraceae
Description: bacterial SSU rRNA
Rfam family: Bacterial small subunit ribosomal RNA
Source: RNAcentral